RNAcentral lists this transfer RNA (82 nucleotides) under Phragmipedium kovachii. RNAcentral's name for it is "tRNA-Lys". Lineage: Eukaryota; Viridiplantae; Streptophyta; Magnoliopsida; Asparagales; Orchidaceae. The record is from RNAcentral.
CCAUUGAUUUUUUUAUUUUGAUCAUAUCUACACAUCAUAUAGAUCCGCCGACUAGUUCCGGGUUCGAGUCCCGGGCAACCCA